This 1522-nucleotide ribosomal RNA is filed under the name metagenome. RNAcentral describes it as "bacterial SSU rRNA". It matches the Rfam family "Bacterial small subunit ribosomal RNA". The record is from RNAcentral.
AGAGUUUGAUCAUGGCUCAGAUUGAACGCUGGCGGCAGGCCUAACACAUGCAAGUCGAACGGUAACAGGAAGCAGCUUGCUGCUUCGCUGACGAGUGGCGGACGGGUGAGUAAUGUCUGGGAAGCUGCCUGAUGGAGGGGGAUAACUACUGGAAACGGUAGCUAAUACCGCAUAAUGUCGCAAGACCAAAGAGGGGGACCUUCGGGCCUCUUGCCAUCGGAUGUGCCCAGAUGGGAUUAGCUUGUUGGUGGGGUAACGGCUCACCAAGGCGACGAUCCCUAGCUGGUCUGAGAGGAUGACCAGCCACACUGGAACUGAGACACGGUCCAGACUCCUACGGGAGGCAGCAGUGGGGAAUAUUGCACAAUGGGCGCAAGCCUGAUGCAGCCAUGCCGCGUGUAUGAAGAAGGCCUUCGGGUUGUAAAGUACUUUCAGCGGGGAGGAAGGGAGUAAAGUUAAUACCUUUGCUCAUUGACGUUACCCGCAGAAGAAGCACCGGCUAACUCCGUGCCAGCAGCCGCGGUAAUACGGAGGGUGCAAGCGUUAGUCGGAAUUACUGGGCGUAAAGCGCACGCAGGCGGUUUGUUAAGUCAGAUGUGAAAUCCCCGGGCUCAACCUGGGAACUGCAUCUGAUACUGGCAAGCUUGAGUCUCGUAGAGGGGGGUAGAAUUCCAGGUGUAGCGGUGAAAUGCGUAGAGAUCUGGAGGAAUACCGGUGGCGAAGGCGGCCCCCUGGACGAAGACUGACGCUCAGGUGCGAAAGCGUGGGGAGCAAACAGGAUUAGAUACCCUGGUAGUCCACGCCGUAAACGAUGUCGACUUGGAGGUUGUGCCCUUGAGGCGUGGCUCCCGGAGCUAACGCGUUAAGUCGACCGCCUGGGGAGUACGGCCGCAAGGUUAAAACUCAAAUGAAUUGACGGGGGCCCGCACAAGCGGUGGAGUAUGUGGUUUAAUUCGAUGCAACGCGAAGAACCUUACCUGGUCUUGACAUCCACGGAAGUUUUCAGAGAUGAGAAUGUGCCUUCGGGAACCGUGAGACAGGUGCUGCAUGGCUGUCGUCAGCUCGUGUUGUGAAAUGUUGGGUUAAGUCCCGCAACGAGCGCAACCCUUAUCCUUUGUUGCCAGCGGUCCGGCCGGGAACUCAAAGGAGACUGCCAGUGAUAAACUGGAGGAAGGUGGGGAUGACGUCAAGUCAUCAUGGCCCUUACGACCAGGGCUACACACGUGCUACAAUGGCGCAUACAAAGAGAAGCGACCUCGCGAGAGCAAGCGGACCUCAUAAAGUGCGUCGUAGUCCGGAUUGGAGUCUGCAACUCGACUCCAUGAAGUCGGAAUCGCUAGUAAUCGUGGAUCAGAAUGCCACGGUGGAUACGUUCCCGGGCCUUGUACACACCGCCCGUCACACCAUGGGAGUGGGUUGCAAAAGAAGUAGGUAGCUUAACCUUCGGGAGGGCGCUUACCACUUUGUGAUUCAUGACUGGGGUGAAGUCGUAGCAAGGUAACCGUAGGGGAACCUGCGGUUG